This 260-nucleotide ribosomal RNA is filed under the name uncultured bacterium. RNAcentral's name for it is "partial 16S ribosomal RNA". It matches the Rfam family "Bacterial small subunit ribosomal RNA", at positions 524 to 783 of the family's 1533-position model. The record is from RNAcentral.
UACGAAGGGGGCUAGCGUUGUUCGGAAUUACUGGGCGUAAAGCGUGCGCAGGCGGCUUCUCAAGUCAGGGGUGAAAGCCCAGAGCUCAACUCUGGAAUUGCCUUUGAGACUGAGUGGCUUGAGUACGAGAGAGGUGAGUGGAAUUCCCAGUGUAGAGGUGAAAUUCGUAGAUAUUGGGAAGAACACCGGUGGCGAAGGCGGCUCACUGGCUCGUAACUGACGCUCAUGCACGACAGCGUGGGGAUCAAACAGGAUUAGAU